GGAGAUGUUAACAACCAGCUUGAAGGCCAGUCCCCUCAUCCUGCCCUGACUCAGCCAUUGGUCAUAUUCCUUGAGGAGUAGAUGCAAAAGUCCGUGUCAAUUAUUAAUCCGCAGAAAUCAUGAUGCUUCAAAUGUGUGUUUGAGGAAGCGCCUGCUGCACACCAGGCUGCCCGUGGAAGAUGCAGAGCCUUCUGCAAAGGUCAUGUGGAGAAGCCAACACCCAGCACCAAACACAAGCAUGGAGCUGAUUGUCUUCCUAAACCCUAAACCCAACAAUUCUCUUCUCCUGACGAAGAAACCCUAAAUCGACUCCCUCCCUGAAGAGCA
Psammomys obesus (fat sand rat) is the source of this 327-nucleotide long non-coding RNA. RefSeq lists it as uncharacterized. The transcript is spliced from 3 exons. The record is from RefSeq and is a predicted model, not a curated record. Lineage: Eukaryota; Metazoa; Chordata; Mammalia; Rodentia; Muridae.